AACAACAACAACAAACCCAGUGUAUUCCCACCUAGUGGGGUCUGGAGGGGGGUAAGAUGUACGCAGUCCAUACCUCUACCUCUAAAGAAGUAGAAAGGCUGUUUCCGAUAGACCCCUGGCUCAAGGCACGAGAUACCACACAAACACAUAGUAAAGCACAGCACAAGAUUACAUAUCAUAAAUACGGCACCCAUAAGUAAUAUAAAACAGAGAAAAGCACACAGAUUCGUAAUAAAACAUGGAACACGGAAUCAUAACAGGCAUAAAACCCCCACCAGGUAAUUCCCUACGCCCUAGUCCUCUGCCCUAAUUCGCGUCCUCCAUACCUUCCUAUCUAGGGUCAUGUCCUCGGUGAGCUGUAAAUGCUCCAUGUCCCGCCUAAUCACCUCACUCCAGUACUUCUUCGGCCUACCCCUACCCCGCCUAAAACCAUCCAACGCUAGCCUCUCGCACCUAUGGACCGGGGCAUCCAUGCCCCUCCUCUUCACGUGUCCGAACCAUCUCAAUCGGGCUUCCCUCAUCUUGCCCUCCACUGGAGUCACACCAACCUCCGCCCGGAUAGUCUCAUUCCAAACUCUAUCCCCUCUAGUCAGCCCACACAUCCAGCGCAACAUCCGCAUUUCUGCCACAUUCAUUUUUUGGAUGUGGG
This 649-nucleotide long non-coding RNA is filed under the name Capsicum annuum. Its description in RNAcentral is "long non-coding RNA (CANN_LNC002764)". The record is from RNAcentral. Lineage: Eukaryota; Viridiplantae; Streptophyta; Magnoliopsida; Solanales; Solanaceae.